GAUGAACGCUGGCGGCGUGCCUAAUACAUGCAAGUCGAACGCACAGCGAAAGGUGCUUGCACCUUUCAAGUGAGUGGCGAACGGGUGAGUAACACGUGGACAACCUGCCUCAAGGCUGGGGAUAACAUUUGGAAACAGAUGCUAAUACCGAAUAAAACUUAGUGUCGCAUGACACAAAGUUAAAAGGCGCUUUGGCGUCACCUAGAGAUGGAUCCGCGGUGCAUUAGUUAGUUGGUGGGGUAAAGGCCUACCAAGACAAUGAUGCAUAGCCGAGUUGAGAGACUGAUCGGCCACAUUGGGACUGAGACACGGCCCAA
Molecule: ribosomal RNA, 317 nt
Filed under: uncultured bacterium
Lineage: Bacteria
Description: bacterial SSU rRNA
Rfam family: Bacterial small subunit ribosomal RNA
Source: RNAcentral